Molecule: ribosomal RNA, 253 nt
Filed under: uncultured bacterium
Lineage: Bacteria
Description: partial 16S ribosomal RNA
Rfam family: Bacterial small subunit ribosomal RNA
Source: RNAcentral
GACGAACCGUGCGAACGUUGUUCGGAAUCACUGGGCUUAAAGGGCGCGUAGGCGGUCAAUCAAGUCUGGGGUGAAAUCUUUCGGCUUAACCGGAAAAGUGCCUUGGAUACUGAUUGACUCGAGGGAGGUAGGGGCAGCUGGAACUUCCGGUGGAGCGGUGAAAUGCGUUGAUAUCGGAAGGAACGCCGGUGGCGAAAGCGAGCUGCUGGACCUUUUCUAACGCUGAUGCGCGAAAGCUAGGGGAGCAAACGGG